GAGAGUAUAGCUCAGUAGUGGAGCAUGUGUUUACCAGACACAAGAUCCUGGGUUCAAUUCCCAGCACCUCCA
Molecule: transfer RNA, 72 nt
Filed under: Camelus bactrianus (Bactrian camel)
Lineage: Eukaryota; Metazoa; Chordata; Mammalia; Artiodactyla; Camelidae
Also listed under: 2 other names
Rfam family: tRNA
About the family: Transfer RNA (tRNA) molecules are approximately 80 nucleotides in length. Their secondary structure includes four short double-helical elements and three loops (D, anti-codon, and T loops). Further hydrogen bonds mediate the characteristic L-shaped molecular structure. tRNAs have two regions of fundamental functional importance: the anti-codon, which is responsible for specific mRNA codon recognition, and the 3' end, to which the tRNAs corresponding amino acid is attached (by aminoacyl-tRNA synthetases). tRNAs cope with the degeneracy of the genetic code in two manners: having more than one tRNA (with a specific anti-codon) for a particular amino acid; and 'wobble' base-pairing, i.e. permitting non-standard base-pairing at the 3rd anti-codon position.
Source: Rfam by way of RNAcentral